ACUCCCUGACUCCUGGUGCCUGAGUCCUUGGUGCUGCAUCUUCUUACCCCCUCCCCCAAGGGGUGUCCGAGUAGGGUAACCACAAUAUUUGGCGUCUAAACGUGGGGUUCGGCCCUACUUGAAUCAGGGUGUAUUCUUAUUUUCCGUCGCCGAGGCUGUUUUUUAUUUGGGCCCUGAUCUUUGACUUUUGUUGGUGGUGGUGCAUCGUCGGAUCCUACGUUGGUGCACUUUCACUUUUUCUGUCUGCACCCUUUCAGACUCCUCUUUACUCUUCGGCACUCCCUCUUCCAGUGACUUGUUCCAUGAGUUCCCUGCCUGUUUUAUGUCCUUGGUCCUCGCAAAGUGUAUUUCCACACUCUAGGUUCUCAUGGCACUUCGACACCCAGAACGUGGCCCUGCUUGGGAGGUCUCUUGGGCCUGGCUCACAGAAAUUCCUGAGGCAUCAGUUUGACAGGCACUCCUCCCACCCUGGCAUGCUUCCCAGAGAUGUCAUCCUUCAAGGGCUGGUAGUCAAUGACCGAGACUGCUGAUGGAGAGACAUAUGACCCAAAGACACCAAUGAGAAAAGGACAUACAACAGAGUCAGCCGCCUGAGCCAAUGGGACCUUGGGAGGGUGUAUAAAGGCAGGUCUAGCUUCCUUAAUAAAG
Molecule: long non-coding RNA, 648 nt
Filed under: Cricetulus griseus (Chinese hamster)
Lineage: Eukaryota; Metazoa; Chordata; Mammalia; Rodentia; Cricetidae
Description: lncRNA (ENSCGRG00015037094.1)
Source: RNAcentral